RNAcentral lists this ribosomal RNA (813 nucleotides) under uncultured organism. RNAcentral describes it as "bacterial SSU rRNA". It matches the Rfam family "Bacterial small subunit ribosomal RNA", at positions 55 to 866 of the family's 1533-position model. The record is from RNAcentral.
AUGCAUGUCGAGGGGUAAUUCGAUCUUCGGAUCGGAAACGACCGGCAAAUGGGUGAGUAAUACAUAUGCAACCUGCCCGUAGCUGGAGAAUAGCUUCCGGAAACGGAAAUUAAUACUCCAUAAUAUNCUAGUAUCGCAUGUNAUUAGAAUUAAAGCUUCGGUGGCUACGGAUGGGCAUAUGUCCCAUUAGCUUGUUGGUGAGGUAACUGCCCACCAAUGCUACGAUGGGUAGGGGGUCUGAGAGGAUGAUCCCCCACACUGGUACUGAGACACGGACCAGACUCCUACGGGAGGCAGCAGUGAGGAAUAUUGGUCAAUGGGCGAAAGCCUGAACCAGCCAUGCCGCGUGCAGGAUGACAGUCCUACGGAUUGUAAACUGCUUUUCUGCAAGAAGAAAUGUUCCGACGUGUCGGGAUUUGACGGUAUUGCGGGAAUAAGCAUCGGCUAACUCCGUGCCAGCAGCCGCGGUAAUACGGAGGAUGCAAGCGUUAUCCGGAUUCAUUGGGUUUAAAGGGUGCGUAGGCGGAUUAGAUAGUCAAAGGUGAAAGCCUGCAGCUUAACUGUAGAAGUGCCUUUGAUACUGCUAAUCUUGAGUAACAGUUGAGGCGAGUGGAAUGUGUAGUGUAGCGGUGAAAUGCAUAGAUACUACACAGAACAACAAUUGCGAAGGCAGCUCGCUAAGCUGUUACUGACGCUCAGGCACGAAAGCGUGGGGAGCGAACAGGAUUAGAUACCCUGGUAGUCCACGCUGUAAACUAUGAUCACUAGCUGUUGGCGAUAAAUUGUCCAGUGGCUCAGCGAAAGCGUUAAGUG